The submitters of this non-coding RNA (48 nucleotides) gave its source as unclassified sequences. The record is from Rfam.
GGCGAAUCAACUCUGUACAAUCAAAGCCGAUGAAACAUUGUACAGAGU